This 698-nucleotide long non-coding RNA is filed under the name Rattus norvegicus (Norway rat). RNAcentral describes it as "long non-coding RNA NONRATT032083". The record is from RNAcentral. Lineage: Eukaryota; Metazoa; Chordata; Mammalia; Rodentia; Muridae.
CGACAGUGUUCUCAGACGACGCCUGCGCAGUGGCCGCCGCCGGCGGGGUGGCUGACGCUGCGGGGUUGAGGGAGUUCCUGCGGGUGGCUGUCACCGCCCCGUUCCUCUCCCAAUGGUGUUCUCCUGAGGCUAGCUGCCUGCGGGCGUCGCCCCGGGAUGGAGCACAUCCGGACAACCAAGGUUGAACAAGUAAAGUUACUUGACCGGUUUAGUACCAACAACAAGUCACUGACAGGAACACUGUAUCUUACGGCCACACACCUAUUAUUUAUUGAUGCUCAUCAAAAAGAAACCUGGGUAAGGUGGACUGUCUACCUUUGCAACAAUAGUAGGCUGGUUUUUAAUUAUCAGGUUUUUGUCUUUGUUUUUGCUUUGGACAGUGUCGUUCUAUAUAUCCCAGACUGGUCUUGAACUUCCUAUAUAUUCUGGAGAGCUAGGAUAUAGGCAUGUAUAAUUACUUAGAGAUCAAUUAACUUUUUUUCUGUUUUCAAAUGACUCCUCCCUUCUAUGAAUAAUUUAUAGCACUUGUAAUAUGAAAUUAUGUAGAAUACCAGACUCUUUUAACCUCUGUAGAAACUUAGGAAAUGCCUCUUUGUUCCUUAAGUGUCUUAAAAGUCAAGGUAAUGUCUGUUCAUAUUAGCAAUCAUACGGAUUACAUAGUAUAUUCCACAGCAUUUUAGUGCCAAAUUACAGUAGGG